CCAAAUCCCAGCCAAUUAACCUAUGCUGAACUAUAAUCUCUGUCUCUUUGACUUCGUAAUGCUACCAUGAUUUGCUUUGGUUCCCCAUCCUGGAUUGUUGUGUCUUCUAGUUGUCAUAACAGGAAGCCAUAUCUGAUUCACUUACCACCUCAUGGCCAGAAGUAGAUGUUCUCUUUAAUUUUAAAAAUGUUGUCCAAAUUUUAAGUUAAGUAAACAUAAAUUUUGCAGAAUAUUUAAUGACUCAUAUUUUGUAAUAUUCUCUUUUGGGAAUGCAUAAACAACCACAUGGGA
This 291-nucleotide long non-coding RNA is filed under the name Pan troglodytes (chimpanzee). RNAcentral's name for it is "long non-coding RNA NONPTRT016352". Lineage: Eukaryota; Metazoa; Chordata; Mammalia; Primates; Hominidae. The record is from RNAcentral.